Molecule: ribosomal RNA, 283 nt
Filed under: uncultured prokaryote
Description: partial 16S ribosomal RNA
Rfam family: Bacterial small subunit ribosomal RNA
Source: RNAcentral
AACGUAGGGGCGAGCGUUGUCCGGAAUUACUGGGCGUAAAGGGCGCGUAGGCGGUUAUCCAAGUCAGGGGUGAAAACUCUGGGCUCAACCCAGAGCGUGCCUUUGAAACUGGGUAACUUGAGGGCAGGAGAGGGGAGUGGAAUUCCCAGUGUAGCGGUGAAAUGCGUAGAUAUUGGGAGGAACACCAGUGGCGAAGGCGGCUCUCUGGCCUAACCCUGACGCUGAGGCGCGAAAGCGUGGGGAUCAAACAGGAUUAGAUACCCUGGUAGUCCCUGAGCGGGCU